RNAcentral lists this ribosomal RNA (619 nucleotides) under uncultured bacterium. Its description in RNAcentral is "bacterial SSU rRNA". It matches the Rfam family "Bacterial small subunit ribosomal RNA", at positions 563 to 1198 of the family's 1533-position model. The record is from RNAcentral.
AAGCGUGUGUAGGCGGUCGGAUGCGUCCGGUGUGAAAUCUCCCGGCUUACCUGGGAGGGGGCAUCGGAUACGGUCGGACUUGAGGGCAUCAGAGGCCAGUAGAACUCCCGGUGGACCAGUGAAAUGGGUAGAGAUCGGGAAGAAUACCAGUGGUGCAGACGGCUGGCUGGGGUGUACCUGACGCUGAGACACGAAAGCAUGGGGAGCAAACAGGAUUAGAUACCCUGGUAGUCCAUGCUGUAAACGAUGUCCACUAGGUGUGCGGGGUAUCGACCCCCUGCGUGCCGGAGCUAACGCACGAAGUGGACCGCCUGGGGAGUACGGCCGCAAGGUUAAAACUCAAAGGAAUUGACGGGGACCCGCACAAGCAGCGGAGCGUGUGGUUUAAUUCGAGGCAACGCGAAGAACCUUACCUGGAUUCAAUGCUAGUUGCACCGGGGGUAAUGCCCCGUCCUCGCAAGAGGCGGCUAGCACGGUGCUGCAUGGCUGUCGUCAGCUCGUGCCGUGAGGUGUUGGGUUAAGUCCCCUAACGAGCGCAACCCCUGUGGCCGGUUGAACAUCCGGCGAGACUGCCGCGCACAACGCGGAGGAAGGCGGGGAUGACGUCAAGUCAGCACGG